This 73-nucleotide transfer RNA is filed under the name Bos taurus (domestic cattle). It matches the Rfam family "tRNA". Rfam says of the family: Transfer RNA (tRNA) molecules are approximately 80 nucleotides in length. Their secondary structure includes four short double-helical elements and three loops (D, anti-codon, and T loops). Further hydrogen bonds mediate the characteristic L-shaped molecular structure. tRNAs have two regions of fundamental functional importance: the anti-codon, which is responsible for specific mRNA codon recognition, and the 3' end, to which the tRNAs corresponding amino acid is attached (by aminoacyl-tRNA synthetases). tRNAs cope with the degeneracy of the genetic code in two manners: having more than one tRNA (with a specific anti-codon) for a particular amino acid; and 'wobble' base-pairing, i.e. permitting non-standard base-pairing at the 3rd anti-codon position. Lineage: Eukaryota; Metazoa; Chordata; Mammalia; Artiodactyla; Bovidae. RNAcentral also lists the same sequence under 5 other names. The record is from Rfam by way of RNAcentral.
UGCCUAGAAGUCCAGUGGUUAGGACUCUGUGCUUCUGCUGCUGGGGGCCCAGGUUCAAUCCCUGGUCAGGCAA